AUUGUAUACAUGUACUUUACGUGGGAAUUGGAUGAGGUAAAAACUUAAUGUUUCAGGUCUUCCAAGCAUAAACCAGCAAGGAAAAUCCAGUGGGAUCCUUCAUUUCAUUUUCUUCUGUGCUUGCCCAUUCCAUUACAGAGCUACUACAACUUGAAGAUGCUGAAGAUAAAGAUGAUGAUGAAGAUGAUGAACUUCUCAAUACACCUUUCUUCAUCAUCUUUGUCUCAAACCCAAAUCCACAAGAUUGCUGGGACCACAUACUAUUAUUAAAUUGCUCCUCAUCCAAACUUGAUUUCUCAAAUUUGAACAUGUACAAAGCAUAACCAUCUUCAUCAUCAUCAAACAACCAGUUAUACACAUCCCAUGACACCGCUACUCCAACCCCAUCUACUUCAAUUCUCUCAUUCCCUCUGAAUUUCCAUCUCAAGUGCUUAAUUUGCAAUACCCUUUUGUUGUCCACACUGAAAUACAACCUUGGAUCUUCCCCAAUCCUGCAAUCAAUUGAGAUUUCUCUUUCUUUUCCACCAAACUUUGCUUUUGUUAUGUACAGUUUGUUCCCACAGUACACAUGUUCCCUUCUCAGCACCAUGUUCAUGUUCAUGUACUUGUUUCGAGCUCUUGUCCUUGAAUAAGCUUCUUUGAGUAAAUCGCCGACGAGAAGAACCAUUUCUCCGUUAACGGUAGCAGCCAUGUAGAAUCCAGAUCGAGGUUCAGGGCCAGAUCCGAAUUUAGCUUUGGAAAAAUCCCAAAAGAUGUGAACAUUGUUAUGGAGCUUGUUAGAUCCGUGUUUCUUCCAGAAAACAAAAGGCUUGAUGUGGAGUUGGAAAGAAGGGGAUAGAUGAGGAGAAGAAAGGCCAUUGAGGAGGAAAUGGAUAUGAAAAGAUCUGCCGAACAGAUUGCGUGACCAAGUUAGAGCAAAAAGGCCGAGGUGGGUGUUGUAGAGGGAGGUGGCUAGAUUGGGAUAUGUAGCAACUCCAACUGGUGGAAGAGCGGUGGCAGCCGGGCGUCCAAAACAAGCAGAGUAAUAGUGGCG
Molecule: unclassified non-coding RNA, 1033 nt
Filed under: Hevea brasiliensis (rubber tree)
Lineage: Eukaryota; Viridiplantae; Streptophyta; Magnoliopsida; Malpighiales; Euphorbiaceae
Source: RNAcentral